AUGUAGACAGUUUACAUUAAUAAAAGUAAUUGUACCGGACAUGGAAAAAAGCAAACAUAACAUUUUAAAGUGCAUGGUAGUUUGUGGCAGACAGCCUAUAUUUCACUUCAUUCUGUCACACAAACAAAAAAUCUGUAGGUGAGGGAAGAUAAAUGACAAGUAUGAAUGUAAACCAAAAUGACUGACAACUGUUCAGUAAUUGCACUACUAAAGUAUCCUAUAUAUCAAACGUAAUGACCUUUAUCCCUAAAAUAUACUUACUGACCUGGACACUUAACAACAGAAAUACAAUUUCCUGUAACAAGUAGCAAAUUACAUCCUGUGCCCUAAGACAGAGAACAUUUAUGUUGCAGACAGGUUACAUUUCAGAAAGAUGAAGUUUGUCAGCGUUCUUGCACUGAGCCUGGCACGAUGAGGGCGCAUGAUGAGGCCUCCAUGACUAAACACUCUCUCCACUGGGGCACUGGUGGCAGCCUUGGAAAGUCUUUUGCAUGGAUUCUCCAAAAAUCCAAGCAAUCAACUUCAUUUUCAUCAGAAGAUACUUGAAUGUAGCGAAUAAUCUCUGCUCUGACCUGGCUUUGUCUCCUUUCUUCUUGCUGAUCUUGUAGCGGUUGACAGAGAACAGUCUGGAGGUUUUGGCAGGUGGUGGUUGUUCUUCUUCUCCACUACUGCCCUCCGUAACGGUGACUUUCCGUGCCUCAGCCAAAACAAGGAGGAGCUACAGAGUGAGUCAUUACCUGGAGUACAUGGAGGGUCUGGAGCACAGUUACAGAACAAUGGUACUGACAGACAUGAAAAAUAUCUCUUAGAGAAUCAGCUAGCAGUGCUGACACACCACAGCCAUCACUCCCCAGGCUGCACUGGGACUGGGACUGGUAAUAACAAGGUAAAGGCUUCUCGUGACAGGAUUAACCAGUGUGUGUACCUGGGGAGUCUCAUACUACCUGUUGUUUGGAUUGAGGAAAGGUUUGAUACUGUGUAUGCUCUCUGUAAAUGUUGUUUAUACCUCUAAGAUCUGUCAGUAUUGUUCUACAUAUUUAAAGAUGUACAGUGGUAGAGAUGUAUGAAAUAUUAAAUAGCAGAUAUGAAUAAUGUUAUGAAAUAUACUGAACAAAAAUAUUAACACAGCAUACAAUAAUUUCAAAGAUUUACAUUUCAUGUAAGGUAAUCCGGCAAUUGAAAUAAAUAAAUUAGGCCCUAAUCUAUGGAUUUCACGACUGAGAAUGACUGUUGGUCACAGAUACCUUUUAAAAAAGUUAGGGGUGUGGAUCAGAAAACCAGUCAGUAUCUGGUGUGACAAUCAUUUGCCUCAUGCAGCGUGACACAUCUUCUUCGCAUAAAGUUGAUCAGAU
This 1352-nucleotide long non-coding RNA is filed under the name Oncorhynchus mykiss (rainbow trout). RNAcentral describes it as "lncRNA (ENSOMYG00000076136.1)". The record is from RNAcentral. Lineage: Eukaryota; Metazoa; Chordata; Actinopteri; Salmoniformes; Salmonidae.